Molecule: long non-coding RNA, 1288 nt
Organism: Culex pipiens pallens (northern house mosquito)
Lineage: Eukaryota; Metazoa; Arthropoda; Insecta; Diptera; Culicidae
Exons: 2
Source: RefSeq, a predicted model, not a curated record
UUUGACAUUUUGAUAUUUUGACAUUUUGACAUUUUGACAUUUUGACUGUUCGACAAUUUGUCAAUUUCUCGGGUGAGUUUUCAAAAAGCCGUAAGAGCCACCGUGACCUCUUACACUAAUUUUCGUUUUUCUCGAAAAUGAUACAAAAUUUCAUUUAUUUUAAGUAUGGGGCACUUUAAGGACGUGUAGAUGAACAAUCUCGAGCAUUUUAAAGUUUGAAGUUACAAAAAUAAUAAUGUCAAGAUAAUUACUAAACCUACCACAGAUAUCUUUUGGUAAUUUUGAAAGUUGUCACAUUUUAUUAAAAAUCAUUACAAUAUACUUUAGGCAUAAUAUUACAAUACUUAUCCAUCUAAUACAAUGCUGAAAGAACAGUAAUACUCGACCAAAAAUUUAGGAAUCAAAAGGUAUGACGAAUUUCUGUUUGACUUGAAAACGUUAUUACAGAAAUCGUAAUUUGUUUUCGUGUUCCUGAGUAGUUAAAAAUUUGCGUAAUUAUUUCAGCAUUUUUCAAAUGUAAUUACAUUUCUGCAUUGCCAAAUUGUUUCAAUAUUAGGUAACUUUACUACCCAUUGAUUGUGACAAAUCAGACACACCUUAUAUAUUCGAAGAACUUUGGUGCUCGUCUUGCUGGACGGUUGACAGCUUGAACUGACGUUUCAUUGUGUUUGAAAUUUUCACGCUUCAAACAAGUUGCUCUGUUUCUGCUGCUACUUUUUCAUUUAUAAUCAGUUAAUUUGCCAAUAAACGCAGAAAAUUUGGUGAAAAUGUGAAAAAAGCUUGCUGCUCUUCCCGCUGGCCCUGCGGAAGGCUAAUUUGGCUGAGAUUUUACAAGUUACACUAAAACCCCCGUUUACGCGCAGGCGUUACGCUUUUUGUUUGGUUAAUUUCUCGAAAACAGUGUAAUGUUUUUACAUUCUUUUGAAAGCAAUUUGUAGAUCUGCACAAGACCUAUAAAUCGCUUUAAAAAGAUUGCAAAAAUAUUGCGUCGUUCCAGAGAAAUCGACGAAAUACAAAGCGUAACGCCUGAGCGUAAACCGGGGUUUUAGUGUAGCCAUCUCCUAGUGGACUGAAUCAACUGGAACCGGCCCUCAAUGUUCUCCGCCGUGAAAUCAUUUUGUUUCUUUGAAACAGGUUCAUCAAUCAACUCGGGAGUGCGAGAGCUCGAGCCUCGUUGCCGAGCCAUGGAUGGCGCCGCGAAAGUUCUCAAUUCUUGAAUGUUCCGCCCUGAAGGAUGCCCAACACAGGAAAAGAAAAUAAUUUGGAAAUAAAUAAUGCUGUGUGGAAA